RNAcentral lists this long non-coding RNA (1116 nucleotides) under Cyanistes caeruleus (blue tit). Its description in RNAcentral is "lncRNA (ENSCCEG00000017252.1)". The record is from RNAcentral. Lineage: Eukaryota; Metazoa; Chordata; Aves; Passeriformes; Paridae.
AUGGCUGAGCUCUUAACUCGGGCAGCUGGGAGCGGCAGAUCCUCUCGCUUACCCAUCAGUACCGCUCCUCCUUUCUGCUUCCAGGACCCUUUUAAAGGCUUCUGCCUCCUCCCCAGGCUCUGGCAGCGUGCUUGGAGCAGUCCCUGUCGUCGGGCAGGUUUGUUUCUGUGUGGAGUAGCGGCUUUUGCUCUCCUGGAGCUGCAGCUCCAGUGGCACCGACCCAGAGCUCCAUGUUGGGUUGGGUUCAGGUCUGAAAGCCCUGCAGUUUUACAGCUCAAUUAGCACAGUUCAUCAAUUACACAGCUCAAUUAAGGAAACCCUGUCCGUGGAAAGCAAAGCCAGUGGGAGGAGAUGCCUGAAGUAAGAAAAUAUGCGUUCCGUGGGGAAAUGAUGCAGGUGAUUCAUGAAAAUGUUACCUGAGAUGUGAAACGUGAAUGUGUGGGGAUGUAAAAACAAGGCUGGGUGUGUUUGAGUUUGUCCAAAGGGAGGCUGAGGUGACUUUUUUUAUUGCUUGUGAGUAUUUUGGAGACCUCACAUAAAGAAAUGAGUAUGCAGAGUUUCCCUAUUCGUGAUAAACUUUAUCAGCAGGACAGUGCAGCAGAUGUUGGGUGGGUGAUGAGCAAAUGAGCCUUUGGAGCAGGGCAGCUGUUCAUGAGCUCUGAGCAUUGCACAGGGCAAUGCCCACUGCAAACCCAAACAGCAGAACCAGGCCUGGGCAGGGUUCGGCUCCUUCAGGACCUGGCUCAGAAUCCCAGAGUUUUAUUCAGGGAAAAGCCCUUUGAAUGUCAGCAGGGGCUGUGACACGGUAACUGGAGAAUUAGCAAGACUUGGUACAGAAACAAGGGGAAUUUUACAUGGUUCUCGAGGUGUUUGUGUCCUGGCUGAUCCCAUCACAGGCAGGGGAAUGUUUCCUGCUUUUAAGAAUAUGAGUGGAUUAGGAGAACAUUCAUGUCCUGCUUGGCCAGUCUUGGAGUGCACAUAUUUAAAGGCCAUUAGUAAGUGGUGCCCUGUCCUGGAUCUGUCCCCUGCCAAGGCCACCCCAGCACAGAGCAGGAUUUGAAACUUUAUUUAUCCCAUCCCAGGCUUCAGCCUCAAACCCAGACAAUUAUUAGCCAA